This 88-nucleotide transfer RNA is filed under the name Nemania abortiva. Its description in RNAcentral is "tRNA-Arg". It matches the Rfam family "tRNA". From Rfam's summary of the family: Transfer RNA (tRNA) molecules are approximately 80 nucleotides in length. Lineage: Eukaryota; Fungi; Ascomycota; Sordariomycetes; Xylariales; Xylariaceae. The record is from RNAcentral.
GGCCUCGUGGCCUAAUGGCUAGGGCGCUAGAUUUCGGUGUCACAUUCUGAUCCUCUAGAGAUUGUCGGUUCGAGUCCGGCCGAGGUCG